UACGAAGGGUGCAAGCGUUACUCGGAAUUACUGGGCGUAAAGCGUGCGUAGGUGGUUUGUUAAAGUCUGUUGUGAAAGCCCCGGGCUCAACCUGGGAACUGCAUUUGAUACUCUGGAGCUUGAGUACGGGAGAGGAUAGUGGAAUUCCCAGUGAUAGAGGUGAAAUUCGUAGAUAUUGGGAAGAACACCGGUGGCGAAGGCGGCUACUCGUG
RNAcentral lists this ribosomal RNA (212 nucleotides) under uncultured bacterium. Its description in RNAcentral is "partial 16S ribosomal RNA". It matches the Rfam family "Bacterial small subunit ribosomal RNA", at positions 524 to 733 of the family's 1533-position model. The record is from RNAcentral.